UCCCUGGUGGUUCAGCUGGUAAAGAAUCCACCUGCAAUGUGGGAGACCUGGGUUUGAUCCCUGGCUUGGGAA
Molecule: transfer RNA, 72 nt
Filed under: Bos taurus (domestic cattle)
Lineage: Eukaryota; Metazoa; Chordata; Mammalia; Artiodactyla; Bovidae
Also listed under: 2 other names
Rfam family: tRNA
About the family: Transfer RNA (tRNA) molecules are approximately 80 nucleotides in length.
Source: Rfam by way of RNAcentral